GAUGAACGCUGGCGGCGUGCCUAAUACAUGCAAGUCGAGCGAACGGACGAGAAGCUUGCUUCUCUGAUGUUAGCGGCGGACGGGUGAGUAACACGUGGAUAACCUACCUAUAAGACUGGGAUGACUUCGGGAAACCGGAGCUAAUACCGGAUAAUAUUUUGAACCGCAUGGUUCAAAAGUGAAAGACGGUCUUGCUGUCACUUAUAGAUGGAUCCGCGCUGCAUUAGCUAGUUGGUAAGGUAACGGCUUACCAAGGCAACGAUGCAUAGCCGACCUGAGAGGGUGAUCGGCCACACUGGAACUGAGACACGGUCCAGACUCCUACGGGAGGCAGCAGUAGGGAAUCUUCCGCAAUGGGCGAAAGCCUGACGGAGCAACGCCGCGUGAGUGAUGAAGGUCUUCGGAUCGUAAAACUCUGUUAUUAGGGAAGAACAUAUGUGUAAGUAACUAUGCACAUCUUGACGGUACCUAAUCAGAAAGCCACGGCUAACUACGUG
RNAcentral lists this ribosomal RNA (497 nucleotides) under uncultured bacterium. Its description in RNAcentral is "partial 16S ribosomal RNA". It matches the Rfam family "Bacterial small subunit ribosomal RNA", at positions 28 to 507 of the family's 1533-position model. The record is from RNAcentral.